UGCGUAGGCGGGUUUCUAAGUCAGAGGUGAAAGCCUGGAGCUCAGCUCCAGAACUGCCUUUGAUACUGGAAGUCUUGAGUAUGGCAGAGGUGAGUGGAACUGCGAGUGUAGAGGUGAAAUUCGUAGAUAUUCGCAAGAACACCAGUGGCGAAGGCGGCUCACUGGGCCAUUACUGACGCUGAGGCACGAAAGCGUGGGGAGCAAACA
Molecule: ribosomal RNA, 207 nt
Filed under: uncultured bacterium
Lineage: Bacteria
Description: partial 16S ribosomal RNA
Rfam family: Bacterial small subunit ribosomal RNA
Source: RNAcentral